CAUAAUAAUCGAUAAGUUGCGUGUGUGGCACACUUUCUGUUGCUGGUAUUUACCAUUUUGACCCCGACGUCAGUUAAAAGGACUGAAUUUGACGUGGGUGAGUGAGUCUGUAGAAAAGAGCUUUCAAAACUCAAAUAAUUCCUUGGCCUUUCCCUCCCUCAUCGUCUCCAUUUCUUCUUCUAUCUGAAAUGAUGUACGGAUGCCGAAUCCGCUAUCACCUUAGAUAUGGUUGCGACACCGCCUACACCAAUGGCUCGAGGGUGAGCCGAUCUACAAAACCCAUAUGGUCGUGCCACUAUCCAUCGCCGUUGCCAAAGUUCAUCACAUCACACUCGCCGAUCCGGAUCCACAUGAAUGUGCUCCGAAGUUCAUUGUCUCGAUGGUAACGGAGUAAGACCGGUUAUGUGUAUGUUUUCUCCAUGCCUUAACAAAUUUCUCUGUUUUAUGCGAAUUUCUUCGUUUGACCCAUAUGUGGUGAUUUUGCAGAUAUAGAGUAAAAUAACAACCAAGGUAGUACAAGCAUUGUUUUUCCAGUGGCUAUUUUUAAUCAGGCAUUCACAUUUUCUAGUGUGAUACAUAAAGGAAACACAGUUUGAAGCCGCUGCAUCCAAAGUUUAUGAGUCAUAUUUGAAGAGAGUGAGCUUGAAGAUUAUUCGAGGACAUAAAGCCCCACUAUACGGCUCCAAAAUAUUUGCAUUGAGCGUGUUGUACUGGGUCGAGAACAUAUAGAUGCCAAGUGUAACCAUCUAUUAUUGAUUUGAUGUAAACUUAUGGUUUCAAUACAGUACUUGAACAGCAAUACGUUUGCAGAUAUUCAAUGGAUAAUUCAUAGUUUAGUUAUUACA
Molecule: long non-coding RNA, 845 nt
Organism: Rosa rugosa (rugosa rose)
Lineage: Eukaryota; Viridiplantae; Streptophyta; Magnoliopsida; Rosales; Rosaceae
Exons: 3
Source: RefSeq, a predicted model, not a curated record